GUCUUUAGUCAUUCCAUGUGAAGCAAGAAAGUUGGCAAGCUAGCUUGAGCCAGGUUGCAUGUAAACAUGUACGUACACUACUACUGAGAUCGUAGCCUAUGUUCCGUACUGCGUGCGAAAUGCCUUUGGACAUGCAUGCCAAUUGCCUCAUACAAGUUAAUUUCGUUUUUUGUCAGUGAGGUCAACAUCAAUCCCAAGGAUGAAGUCACAUUAGCAUCGAGUCACUGCAUUGCUUACUUGCAUGCAUGACUCAUCCUAUCUUCAGAUAUAGAUCCCUGCAGUAUUUUAAUCAUGUGACUGCAGUUUGUUAUCUCGCAACACUAACAUCGUGGGGUGGAGCAUCUGAAGAUGGUUUGCAUGUCAUGGGAUAUAUAUAUCAUGGCCGAUAGUAGAUGGCCAUGACCGGGACAUCAUUUGGGGGCAUCGUGAUUUGGUGGUGCUUGUUGGUUACUGGUUUCUUGACUCGAGGAGAAACCAACACGCAUGGCCUUAUUUGGUUGUACCGAGCAAUGGUGGCGUUGUUAGCAUUUUCUUGUUGAAUACAUUGUCCAUAGUUCGAUGACUUUUCUCCUAUAGUCUGGCCUCUAUGGGUUGUAUGUAUCAUGGCAACGGCUGCGUGCAUUGCAUGUGCAUCAUUUUUUUUUGGAGGUAUUAAUUUUGGAGCCUUCCUCGCAGUCAAAGUGUUGC
Molecule: long non-coding RNA, 687 nt
Filed under: Setaria italica (foxtail millet)
Lineage: Eukaryota; Viridiplantae; Streptophyta; Magnoliopsida; Poales; Poaceae
Description: long non-coding RNA (SITA_LNC000973)
Source: RNAcentral